UACGAAGGGGGCUAGCGUUGCUCGGAAUUACUGGGCGUAAAGGGCGCGUAGGCGGACAGUUAAGUCAGAGGUGAAAGCCCAGGGCUCAACCCUGGAAUAGCCUUUGAUACUGGCUGUCUUGAGUGCGGGAGAGGUGUGUGGAACUCCGAGUGUAGAGGUGAAAUUCGUAGAUAUUCGGAAGAACACCAGUGGCGAAGGCGACACACUGGCCCGUAACUGACGCUGGGGCGCGAAAGCGUGGGGAGCAAACAGG
RNAcentral lists this ribosomal RNA (253 nucleotides) under uncultured bacterium. Its description in RNAcentral is "partial 16S ribosomal RNA". It matches the Rfam family "Bacterial small subunit ribosomal RNA", at positions 524 to 776 of the family's 1533-position model. The record is from RNAcentral.